Molecule: ribosomal RNA, 344 nt
Filed under: uncultured Limnohabitans sp.
Lineage: Bacteria; Pseudomonadati; Pseudomonadota; Betaproteobacteria; Burkholderiales; Comamonadaceae
Description: bacterial SSU rRNA
Rfam family: Bacterial small subunit ribosomal RNA
Source: RNAcentral
GUCAGAGUUUGAUCCUGGCUCAGGACGAACGCUGGCGGAAUGCUUUACACAUGCAAGUCGAACGGUAGAGGGGGCAACCCCUCGAGAGUGGCAAACGGGUGAGUAAUAUAUCGGAACGUGCCCAGUCGUGGGGGAUAACGUAGCGAAAGUUACGCUAAUACCGCAUACGAUCUAAGGAUGAAAGCGGGGGAUCGCAAGACCUCGCGCGAUUGGAGCGGCCGAUAUCAGAUUAGGUAGUUGGUGGGUAAAGGCUCACCAAGCCAACGAUCUGUAGCUGGUCUGAGAGGACGACCAGCCACACUGGUACUGAGACACGGACCAGACUCCGUACGGGAGCAGCAGUG